UACGUAGGGUGCAAGCGUUAAUCGGAAUUACUGGGCGUAAAGCGUGCGCAGGCGGCUUUGCAAGACAGAUGUGAAAUCCCCGGGCUCAACCUGGGAACUGCAUUUGUGACUGCAUCGCUGGAGUGCGGCAGAGGGGGGUGGAAUUCCACGUGUAGCAGUGAAAUGCGUAGAGAUGUGGAGGAACACCGAUGGCGAAGGCAGCCCCCUGGGUCGACACUGACGCUCAUGCACGAAAGCGUGGGGAGCAAACAGG
Molecule: ribosomal RNA, 253 nt
Filed under: uncultured bacterium
Lineage: Bacteria
Description: partial 16S ribosomal RNA
Rfam family: Bacterial small subunit ribosomal RNA
Source: RNAcentral